AAGGAAGGAGAGGCUGUUUCUACAGGUGUCACAGAAAAAUCGAUGCUGAGCCACGGAUUAUUGGAUCCCACAGAACCGUGGAGACUUGGCAGUGAAAUUCUUCCAAAGG
This is an unclassified non-coding RNA of Mesocricetus auratus (golden hamster), 109 nucleotides long. Ensembl annotates it as predicted gene, 27419. Lineage: Eukaryota; Metazoa; Chordata; Mammalia; Rodentia; Cricetidae. The record is from Ensembl.